Amblyraja radiata (thorny skate) is the source of this 337-nucleotide long non-coding RNA. RefSeq lists it as uncharacterized. The record is from RefSeq and is a predicted model, not a curated record. Lineage: Eukaryota; Metazoa; Chordata; Chondrichthyes; Rajiformes; Rajidae. The transcript has 3 exons.
GUGGAGACAUUGCACAGUUCCAGCAGUAUUACCAGGGCACCCUCCAUUGCGUCAAGAAUAAAGCUAUAGAGAUAGUAACUCAACUCAUCACAACAUGGGAAUGAUAUUCAAACUUUUUGUGGGAUUCUUUAUAUUUUUGCAACUACAAUUGGGCAGUACUUAUAUCAUUGUUUGUUAUUUCACAAACUGGGCACAACACAGAACUGGAAUUGGUCGGUUUGUGGCUAAGGAUAUUAAUCCUUUUUUGUGCACCCAUUUGAUUUAUGCUUUUGCUGAAAUAACUGAAGAUUAUAAAAUUUAUAUCCGAGAGCCAAAGGAAGAAAAUUCUUUAAAAGUA